This 343-nucleotide ribosomal RNA is filed under the name Neoscona arabesca. Its description in RNAcentral is "partial 12S ribosomal RNA". The record is from RNAcentral. Lineage: Eukaryota; Metazoa; Arthropoda; Arachnida; Araneae; Araneidae.
AUACCCUAUUAUAUUUUAAUAAAUCUGGUAGUAUUUAACUAUUAAAAAACUAAUGUAGUUUGGCGGCAUUUAUUCAUAUUAGAGGAACCUGUCUUUUAAUCGAUUCUCCACGAUAUUUUUCACUUUUAUUCAUAUUUUAUAUACCUCCAUCUUAAGGAUUAAUAUUUAUGUUCUCCUCAAAAUAGAUUUCCUAAAAAGUUAGGUAAAGGUGUAAACUAUAUAAAAGAUAAGGUGGGUUACUUUAAAAUCUAUUUAAGGACAAUUUAUUAAAAUUUUUUUUGAAAAAGGAUUUAUUAGUAAUUUAUUUAAUAAUAUUUACAAAUGAACUUGAUAAACAAUGUGC